This 486-nucleotide long non-coding RNA is filed under the name Ananas comosus (pineapple). RNAcentral's name for it is "long non-coding RNA (ACOM_LNC016008)". Lineage: Eukaryota; Viridiplantae; Streptophyta; Magnoliopsida; Poales; Bromeliaceae. The record is from RNAcentral.
UAUUUUUUAAAUUUUUUAACUUUUAAACAAUGUAGGGUGUUGGUUGGUGCAUUGUUUGCUAGAGUUAAGGGCAUGUUUGGUUCACCUAUUUUAGACUAUGGAAUCGGAAUGGAAUUCAUUGAUUCCGAUAGUUGCCGUUUGUUUUAUAGGAAUCGGAUUUCGAUUCUCAUUCCACUCCGAAAUGGGAAUGGCCAAAUCCAUUUAUGAUCCAAUCCGGCUUUGAAUCCCGAAUUGGCUUAUUCUAAAGUAACCUAUUCAAAAUCCUCUUUCAUCAAUAUCUAUCUCCUCUCCCUUCAUCACUUUUCUCUCUCUUAAUCAAAACCUUCUCUCAAAAAUUUUAAAUUUUCAUUCCGAUUUUCAUUCCAAUAAUGUACCAAACAUUUUUGGAUGAUUCGUCAUUCCAUUUCCAAUUCCAAAGCAACCCAAUUCCAUUUUCCAUUCCUAUUCUAAUCAUGAACCAAACAUGCCCUAAGUGUUACUGUAAAG